GGGGCCGUAGCUCAGUCGGUUAGAGUGCCGGACUGUCACUCCGGAGGUCGCGGGUUCGAGUCCCGUCGGCCCCG
This 74-nucleotide transfer RNA is filed under the name Longimicrobium terrae. It matches the Rfam family "tRNA". From Rfam's summary of the family: Transfer RNA (tRNA) molecules are approximately 80 nucleotides in length. Their secondary structure includes four short double-helical elements and three loops (D, anti-codon, and T loops). Lineage: Bacteria; Pseudomonadati; Gemmatimonadota; Longimicrobiia; Longimicrobiales; Longimicrobiaceae. The record is from Rfam by way of RNAcentral. RNAcentral also lists the same sequence under 8 other names.